This 480-nucleotide ribosomal RNA is filed under the name uncultured bacterium. RNAcentral describes it as "partial 16S ribosomal RNA". It matches the Rfam family "Bacterial small subunit ribosomal RNA", at positions 28 to 507 of the family's 1533-position model. The record is from RNAcentral.
GAUGAACGCUGGCGGCAGGCCUAACACAUGCAAGUCGAGGGAAAGGUUACCUUCGGGUAACCACAACCGGCGGCCGGGUGCGUAACGCGUAUACAAUCUGCCUCUCCCAUAGGGAUAGCCCGAAGAACUUUGGAUUAAUACCUAAUGGUAUAUAUAAGCGGCAUCGUUUUUAUAUUAAAUCUACGGUAGCGAAAGCUGAGUAUGCGUUCGAUUAGCUAGUUGGUGAGGUAACGGCUACCCAAGGCGACUAUAGAUAGGGGUUCGGAGAGGGGUGUCCCCCACACUGGUACUGAGAUACGGACCAGACUCGUACGGGAGGCAGCAGUGAGGAAUAUUGGAGAAUGGUAGGAAGACGGAUCCAGCCAUGCCGCGUGCAGGAUGAAGGGCCUAGGGAUUGUAAGCUGCUUUUGUAAGAGAAGAAUAAGAGCUACGUGUAGCUUGAUGACGGUACCUUACGAAUAAGCAUCGGCUAACUCCGUG